UACAGAGGGGGCAAGCGUUGUUCGGAAUUACUGGGCGUAAAGGGCGCGUAGGCGGCCUUCUAAGUCGAACGUGAAAUCCCUGGGCUCAACCCAGGAACUGCGUCCGAUACUGGAAGGCUUGAAUCCGGGAGAGGGAUGCGGAACUCCAGGUGUAGCGGUGAAAUGCGUAGAUAUCUGGAGGAACACCGGUGGCGAAGGCGGCAUCCUGGACCGGUAUUGACGCUGAGGCGCGAAAGCCAGGGGAGCAAACGGG
RNAcentral lists this ribosomal RNA (253 nucleotides) under uncultured bacterium. Its description in RNAcentral is "partial 16S ribosomal RNA". It matches the Rfam family "Bacterial small subunit ribosomal RNA", at positions 524 to 776 of the family's 1533-position model. The record is from RNAcentral.